ACUUGCGGCAACAAUGGCAAAAGGAAGUGUAGUAUCUUCCUUCGUUAAUUCAUUGAUUUUUCGUUUUCUUUUUCUCCUUUUUCUCAUAUUAGUUUCGUCUAGGGAAAAAGGAGGACGAAGACGUUAUAAUUUUGUUCUCAUCCCUACAGUUUUCCUCUCAAUGUAUGUAAUUUUUCUUGUUUUUGUUGUGCUUUAUUAUCCAAUAUUAGAAGAAAAAAAAGAUAAUUUUGUGUAAAGUUGUUA
This 243-nucleotide unclassified non-coding RNA is filed under the name Hevea brasiliensis (rubber tree). Lineage: Eukaryota; Viridiplantae; Streptophyta; Magnoliopsida; Malpighiales; Euphorbiaceae. The record is from RNAcentral.